Oryctolagus cuniculus (rabbit) is the source of this 65-nucleotide microRNA precursor. NCBI's taxonomy places the organism in Eukaryota, Metazoa, Chordata, Mammalia, Lagomorpha, Leporidae. The record is from Ensembl.
AGGGGUGCUCUCUGUGCGUGAGGGACAUGGCAAUCGAAUUGUCUCACACAGAAAUCGCACCCUCU